Molecule: ribosomal RNA, 599 nt
Filed under: Fusarium sp.
Lineage: Eukaryota; Fungi; Ascomycota; Sordariomycetes; Hypocreales; Nectriaceae
Description: eukaryotic LSU rRNA
Rfam family: Eukaryotic large subunit ribosomal RNA
Source: RNAcentral
UAAGCAUAUCAAUAAGCGGAGGAAAAGAAACCAACAGGGAUUGCCCUAGUAACGGCGAGUGAAGCGGCAACAGCUCAAAUUUGAAAUCUGGCUUUCGGGCCCGAGUUGUAAUUUGUAGAGGAUACUUUUGAUGCGGUGCCUUCCGAGUUCCCUGGAACGGGACGCCAUAGAGGGUGAGAGCCCCGUCUGGUUGGAUGCCAAAUCUCUGUAAAGUUCCUUCGACGAGUCGAGUAGUUUGGGAAUGCUGCUCUAAAUGGGAGGUAUAUGUCUUCUAAAGCUAAAUAUUGGCCAGAGACCGAUAGCGCACAAGUAGAGUGAUCGAAAGAUGAAAAGCACUUUGAAAAGAGAGUUAAAAAGUACGUGAAAUUGUUGAAAGGGAAGCGUUUAUGACCAGACUUGGACUUGGUUAAUCAUCUGGGGUUCUCCCCAGUGCACUUUUCCAGUUCAGGCCAGCAUCAGUUUUCGCCGGGGGAUAAAGGCAGCGGGAAUGUGGCUCUCUUCGGGGAGUGUUAUAGCCCGUUGUGUAAUACCCUGGUGGGGACUGAGGUUCGCGCUUCUGCAAGGAUGCUGGCGUAAUGGUCAUCAACGACCCGUCUGAA